This 427-nucleotide ribosomal RNA is filed under the name uncultured bacterium. RNAcentral's name for it is "bacterial SSU rRNA". It matches the Rfam family "Bacterial small subunit ribosomal RNA", at positions 355 to 796 of the family's 1533-position model. The record is from RNAcentral.
UUAGGAAUUUUGCGCAAUGGGGGAAACCCUGACGCAGCAACGCCGCGUGAGUGAUGAAGGCCUUCGGGUUGUAAAGCUCUUUUGCCAGGGAAGAAAAAAAUGACGGUACCUGGUGAAUAAGCACCGGCUAACUCUGUGCCAGCAGCCGCGGUAAUACAGAGGGUGCAAGCGUUAUUCGGAAUUAUUGGGCGUAAAGCGCACGUAGGCGGUCUUUCAAGUCUGGUGUGAAAUCCCUGUACUCAAUACAGGAAGUGCAUUGGAUACUGUUAGACUGGAGAAUGGGAGAGGAGAGCGGAAUUCCUGGUGUAGAGGUGAAAUUCGUAGAUAUCAGGAGGAACAACAGAGGCGAAGGCGGCUCUCUGGACCAUUUCUGACGCUGAGGUGCGAAAGCGUGGGGAGCAAACAGGAUUAGAUACCCCGGUAGUCC